UGGACAGACAGACAUACUGCCUCAGCUUCC
RNAcentral lists this non-coding RNA (30 nucleotides) under Mus musculus (house mouse). Lineage: Eukaryota; Metazoa; Chordata; Mammalia; Rodentia; Muridae. The record is from RNAcentral.